The sequence is a ribosomal RNA, 100 nucleotides long. It matches the Rfam family "Bacterial small subunit ribosomal RNA", at positions 1 to 99 of the family's 1533-position model.
CAUUGUUGGAGAGUUUGAUCCUGGCUCAGGACGAACGCUGGCGGCGUGCUUAACACAUGCAAGUCGAACGCUGAAGCACUUUCGGGUGUGGAUGAGUGGC